Ictalurus punctatus (channel catfish) is the source of this 458-nucleotide long non-coding RNA. NCBI's taxonomy places the organism in Eukaryota, Metazoa, Chordata, Actinopteri, Siluriformes, Ictaluridae. The record is from Ensembl.
CCUGUAUUUGCUUUGGUGGAUGGGGGGAGGUGUGUGUGGGGGGGGUCUCAGAUCACAGGGAUCUCCGAGUCAAUGCUGGCGUGUUCUUGGCUUGGGGAGCCUAUUAGGCCGCUGUGUUCCAGCUGCCGGCCCCGCACUUGGCGACAGUGGUUUUCACGCUCCAGGGUGUCAGCUGCUAGUGAUGGUAACAAGGGAAACAGAGCCAACACGAGGACACUAAAAGGGCAAACCAGUUGAUACCCCUGCAGCCGUGCUGAGUUACAGAGAAGCUUGGCCGGCCACAAGUCCUCCACCCUGUCAUACGAGACGGGCGACAGAUGCCAUGGUCUCCAGCAAGUUGCAGAAAAAAGGCUGCCUAAGCAGCUAUACCAUGUGCCAACUUGAGCUUGAGAGAAAUGCCAAAGCUCUAUGCUGAGGCAGACACUACUGCUAUUUGCUGGCUUAAUGUAACAGUAAGC